This 2872-nucleotide unclassified non-coding RNA is filed under the name Hevea brasiliensis (rubber tree). The record is from RNAcentral. Lineage: Eukaryota; Viridiplantae; Streptophyta; Magnoliopsida; Malpighiales; Euphorbiaceae.
UCCAAUACCAAGUAAGAGUGAUUUUUCCCCAUUGCUUUCAGGCCAUCACUCCUGUAUAUUUAUAAUGAAGAAUCCAGGAAUUACAAUGACUCUAUAGACUAGUAAGACAAUUCAGUACAAUAGGGACAGCUAUACAGGUUGUGUAGUGGAACCACAAUUUAUAUUCUACCCACACAGAUGCCUCAGUUUACUACUGAACUAAUCUACCUAAAAUUUCAUCAAGGCAGUCUAUUUCUGCAUUGGGUGUAAAAAUUAAUGCAACUCUAAAUAAUGUUGAACAUAUUGUACACCAUGCUGAUGCCAACGGGCAAGCCUAGUAUACAGACCAAUGCUUCCACAUGUCAUCCUUGUCCCGUCCCUACGAAAGCUCUGCAUUACAUCUCAAUAUCGUCGAGGUCUGGUAAAGGAAAUCGAAGGAUCACAGCAAUGCCAGUCAAUUGCGCCAAUUCUGUUUCGCUCUCCUGAGAUGUGCAUCGAUGAGAAUAUAUGACCAGCGCCCGCUGAAUCCUUCACUGAGCUGACUAAAUUGACAUACUUUUGCCUCGUUGGUAUAUCAGCAUUUCUGAAGAGAUCAUCCGUCAUAAGAAGAGUUUGGACAGCCAUGCGUUCAUGGGCAACCUCUACAUGCUUUGGUCCAUAACAUCCUCGAUCCUAACAGAAAAACCCACAUUCAAGCACAUUCUAAGAAUUUAGCUGGGACUGAAACUGAAUUUAAAUACACUAAAACUGCAUUCUAAGCAAUUAACAUUACUGGUAUGUUAAGAUUUACUGGAUCCCAGUGGUUUUAGUUCUCAGUGUCAAAUUGGGAUCGUAACUUUAUUUUCAAGUAUAUCCAUUUUUGAGUAUGUCCAUUCUAAUCAUUAAGUUUUUGUGCGCAUAAAAAGAAAAAUUCACAAGAAAACAUAAAAUCAUGCAUCUCAAGAACAGAACCUUACAUUUGAAAGCAUUUUAAAGAAAUCCUUAAGUGCUCAAACCUGUGAAGGAAGAACAACCUGUUAUCACAUUCGAACAUAUGUGGGAAACUGUAUGCUUCGACACAGGUAGGCAUUGGGCUAGCAGUAUGACAAGUAUUGUCCAGCAAAACAAAAAUGAGACAAGAUGAAAGUGCCGGACAAAUUGGUUGUCUAAGUUACCUCUUGUGCUGCCUUAGUGUCUUUUAUCAGGUUCAUAAAAUUUGGGGCAUCAGGAACCUCUCUCAAGCUAUGCUUGUAUCCUGAGCUUUGUAUGCACAAGAACUAUGCGUGACUUGUUCUAAAUAAUGGGUCUUAGCUGUCUCCUCUCUGCCUCCAACAAUAAGAGACAAUGAAACUGAUCCUGAAGUACACAGGAAGAAAACACUCGAAUAAAAUAUAUAUAGCUAUACAAAAUAUCACUUGACAAGAGAUUGAAACCAUAUUAGCAAAUAGGGAUUUCAAAUGAAAAUAGGAUCAAUCAAAACAUUUCAUUUUAGAAAUGGGAAAAAAAAGGAUACGUUUAUCACAGAACUUUGCGAAACCAGGGCUUGCAAUCACAGCAAACCGAAUAACACUGAAAUCAAUAUGUUUUAGGAAACCCUGUACUACACGCUCAAAGAACUUUUUCAAUGCCGACUGGUAACCAGCAAUGGCAGGCCCAUGCUUUCGAGGAAUUGAAGUCUCUAUCUUUGAUUGAGUAGUUGUCAUGCUUUUACCGACAAGAAAGAUGUGUGCUAGUCCUUCUUGCAUUAAAACCACAGCAAGAUCAGCACUUGCACCAGGAUCAGAGGUUUGAUCAAGUGCAUCUACAGCCAAUGAGUCCCAAAUUUCCUUUCUCAAAACAGAAGGUCGAUGAAGCUCUAAUUCUAAAGUAUGAAAUGCUCCAAUCUCAGCUUCACUCUUUCUGCAUCUCUCCCACCGGAUGCUAACUCUCUUAAAACUUUCCUGACAGUAACAGCCAUAACCAUAUCUCCAGGAGAUAUCAAAUUAUAAAUAAGCCAAAGAUCGUCUGAAUCAGCUGGUAUAAUCUUAAUGCUACCGGGGCCAUCUAACACAAUAUUUCUUCUUGUGAUCUUCAUGAAAUUGAAUAGCAGGUUCUCUAAAACAACUUUGAAAGAACAAUUCUUAAUAUAAGUAGUAUAGAGUAGGGAUCAUUGCAUCCCAUUCCAAAAAGAAAUCGGUUAAACAAUAAUAAUUACACUAUUAAUUUGAAUGAUUCAUUAACUCUAUGGAAAACUCUAAAGUAGCAUCCACUCUUUUGAAGGUGUAGGUACUAGGAGUAUGCACGUGCAGCACAUCUCUCCCAAACUACGAACAUAAAACAAAUUGUAAUUUCUGUUUCCAAGUUGUAGGCCAUGAUCUGUCAGUUAUUCCCAUUGUUAUUUCUGAAUUUUUGUUUCCUAGCUGUGGGAGGUUAUUCCUCCAUAUGCUUUCAUGUUCCCAGUUUUUAGGAGGUGGUUAUGCCUUCAAGACUUGUGUAGAUGCAGAAAAUGAAGGAGAAGGUAUCAGAAUUUUAUGUGCAGUUUUGAGUAUUUGAUAUUCAAGAAGUCUUGCAGCCAGAGGUAGAAGGAAGAAAAACCACCCCCAAUACCCUCAUCACACCACAAACCCAACCUAGGCCCCCUAGUCUACACAGACCAAUUACGAGAUCCUUAUCAAGGAGAUGGGAUCUUGUAUAUUUUAAGAGGGUGCAAACUGCUCUUUCAGCUGUUAGAUUUACGCAGAGUAGGGAUUUGUUCAUCUCCAUUAAGAACAAUACUAACUAUAUUAAUAAGAGUUUUGCAUUAACUUUAUGGAAAAUUUUAAGGUGCACCCACUCACUUGGUGGUAUCGGUACUAGGGGUAAGCUUAUCUCUCCCAAACUACAAACGUAAAAAAAAUUGUAAUUUCAAUAACAGUAGAAAGCCAAACAAAGAACA